AAUAUUCGCAUUGAAAAUCUGUCGCCAAUUGGAUGGAAACCUAGCUAAUGACAGCAAUUGGAUGGAAACCUUGCUAAUGACAGCAAUUGGAUGGAAACCUUGCUAAUGACAGCGAUUGGAUGGAAACCUAGCGAAUGACAGCAAUUGUCUUAGGAUGGUGCUGGAACAUCUGACAGCAAAAUAAAAGGCCAGUUUGAUGAAAAAGCUUUAAAUAAAGGUUGAAAUCCAGGCCUGUCACAUGGUGGGUGUAAAUCACAGGGCCCUAAGUAUAAUACUUCUGGGGAAAAGGUUCUGUAUCUAGUUCUGUUAUCGCAAUGGGUCCAUUGUAUCAGUCAAGUCUCAUUGACAAUAGAGACAGAUUAUGCCUUGAAGAGGGGCACAGGUGGAGUCUCUAUCAGAAUGUUUUUUGUGUCUUUUAUCGGUGUAACAGAAAUGACCAGUUAUUCCUAAAGACUGCUGUGUUGACCAAAACCUGGCGUAUACUGUUUCAUAGAAAUAAAAAUAAAUAAUACUUUCAGAUUUUGUAAUCAAAGAUGAUCAAAGCAGUGUUUUUAGAGACUGCAACUCGGCUGUGAAUCAAGACAGUGUUAUGUUAUGUGAAGUACUAUUGCGACCUUAUAAAACCCAAUAUGUUAGAAAAGAAUGGUGCUGUUCCUUUCAUUUUUACUUGAAUAUGUCACUACUGACUAGAUUUGACUUUUUCACGGUCUUGUCUUUAAAAAAAUAUAUAUUUUCUUUUUCUCUACGUUGUCAUAGUUACUUUGUUUUUAUUUAUUGUGGUGGUCCAUAUUUGCACAGGUCACAGUGGUAUGAAUAGACAUACCACUGUCUAUUCAUACCACUAUUCAUACCAUAGAUAUCUUAUUCACUCUGAGUCAAAACCGCCAUUAAACUAUCAUCAAAACUUGUCACCUUUCCUCUCAGAUUCAUUCCAACCCACGUGUGGCUCCUCCCACCAGCCUCCACUGGUGUGGCUUAUUUAAAGAACGAUGACAGACAAAUGGCAAUGGGCAACUUUGUACGUUUUGCAUUCAACUCAUCAACUUCAACUUGGGACAAGUCAGACAUUGUGAACUGUUAAUAUCUCUCACGGUGGAAGAUAUUAGAUAAUUGAGGGAUUAUUUUUAAUGUUGAAUCUAAUUUUGUCUUCCACACCUGUCGUAUUGUGAGUGUGGUACAGUGUUUGUCUUUGUACUCCCUUGAGAAUUCACCAGUGUACUUCUGAUGGGAGCCCCAGCCAUUUCUGAUGGGAGCCCCAGCCAUUUCUGAUGGGAGCCCCAGCCAUUUCUGAUGGGAGCCCCAGCCAUUUCAGAUGGGAGCCCCAGCCAUUUCAGAUGGGAGCCCCAGCCAUUUCAGAUGGGAGCCCCAGCCAUUUCAGAUGGGAGCCAAAGCCAUUUCUGAUGGGAGCCCCAGCCAUUUCUGGUGGGAGCCACAGCCAUUUCUGGUGGGAGCCACAGCCAUUUCUGGUGGGAGCCACAGCCAUUUCUGGUGGGAGCAACAGCCAUUUCUGGUGGGAGCCACAGCCAUUUCUGGUGGGAGCCACAGCCAUUUCUGGUGGGAGCCACAGCCAUUUCUGGUGGGAGCCACAGCCAUUUCUGGUGGGAGCCACAGCCAUUUCUGGUGGGAGCCACAGCCAUUUCUGGUGGGAGCCACAGCCAUUUCAGUCCUGCCAGAGUAGAGCUCUCAGCAGCACAUUGACAGGAAAUCUAAAUGGUACGACAAUUUGGCACGGGCAUAAAGGUGGUUUUAUGACUAUGAUUAUGAUGAUGAUGAUGAUGACUGCCAUUUAUUUCAACUAUCUGAUGAAACCUGCGAGGCCAACAGGUGUUGAGGCCAACAAUAUCCUACCUGCUGAUGGAUUCCUCUAAUAGUGAACCGUGUGUCUGACCAUGUGUGUGAGACUGUGUGUGUCCACAGCACAAGGUCUGCUUUGUGGGAACACAGUUAUUGAUUGCUGUUAGUCUGGCGUUAGACAGUAAUGGCCUGCCCAUGAUGUUGCCAUGGUGCUUGUUUAAAAUGCUGUCUAUUUUAAUGUACCUGUUUUUAAUGUACAUCUACUGGAUGUGUUUAAUGUUUUAAAUGUAUGUGUUGUAUUUUUUCGACUUUGGAUCUCUUAAUUUGUACAUGAUUGGUAAAGUAGGGAUUGUAGGCUACCUUCUUUAUUCAGAACAGAAACAAAGGCAAAAUGUAGGAAGCCAUUUUUAAUCGCAGAGGCAGGGAGGAAGACGAGCACUUUUGGACUUUAGUUGUACCCCCUUCAUCACAUGGACGCUACAAACAAACCAGAUGAAACUAAGAAGGAAUUUAAUGUACAAUUGACUCUCCAUUGUGAACUCUAACAUACUCUCUGUCUCUGUCAGAGUAUUCCUCACAAGCAAUUGGAUGCUGAGAAAAGUAAAGUCCUCUGUAUUGCAGUUUUCAACCAUGACCUUUUUUCCACACGGUUCAGGUUCAGGCGAAGAAGCUCAUGUCAGAGAGAUGAUGAUGGACAUCUAUUUUCCUGAAAGGUAUUUGAGUAUUUAGGGGUUGACUUUCUCCAUAGACUAAUCCACUUCACCACUGUACCUCCCAUCCCAAGUCAUAUGGAAAGUUCUACCCUCUCUCUCUGGUUGAAUCUCUCUUCAGGAGCUGGUGAAAAGG
Long non-coding RNA from Coregonus clupeaformis (lake whitefish), 2640 nucleotides. RefSeq lists it as uncharacterized. The transcript has 2 exons. Lineage: Eukaryota; Metazoa; Chordata; Actinopteri; Salmoniformes; Salmonidae. The record is from RefSeq and is a predicted model, not a curated record.